GAUGAACGCUGGCGGCGUGCCUAAUACAUGCAAGUCGAGCGAACGGACGAGAAGCUUGCUUUUCUGAUGUUAGCGGCGGACGGGUGAGUAACACGUGGAUAACCUACCUAUAAGACUGGGAUAACUUCGGGAAACCGGAGCUAAUACCGGAUAAUAUUUCGAACUGCAGGGUUCAAAAGUGAAAGACGGUCUUGCUGUCACUUAUAGAUGGAUCCGCGCUGCAUUAGCUAGUUGGUAAGGUAACGCCUUACCAAGGCAACGAUGCAUAGCCGACCUGAGAGGGUGAUCGGCCACACUGGAACUGAGACACGGUCCAGACUCCUACGGGAGGCAGCAGUAGGGAAUCUUCCGCAAUGGGCGAAAGCCUGACGGAGCAACGCCGCGUGAGUGAUGAAGGUCUUCGGAUCGUAAAACUCUGUUAUUAGGGAAGAACAUAUGUGUAAGUAACUGUGCACAUCUUGACGGUACCUAAUCAGAAAGCCCCGGCUAACUACGUG
This 497-nucleotide ribosomal RNA is filed under the name uncultured bacterium. Its description in RNAcentral is "partial 16S ribosomal RNA". It matches the Rfam family "Bacterial small subunit ribosomal RNA", at positions 28 to 507 of the family's 1533-position model. The record is from RNAcentral.